Molecule: ribosomal RNA, 216 nt
Filed under: Glomeromycotina sp.
Lineage: Eukaryota; Fungi; Glomeromycota
Description: partial small subunit ribosomal RNA
Rfam family: Eukaryotic small subunit ribosomal RNA (bases 40-216)
Source: RNAcentral
GGGUCAGUAGGUUGGUCGUGCCUCCGGUACGUACUGGUCUCACUGAUUCCUCCUUCCUGAAGAACCGUAAUGCCAUUAAUUUGGUGUUGCGGGGAAACAGGACUGUUACUUUGAAAAAAUUAGAGUGUUUAAAGCAGGCUAACGCUUGAAUACAUUAGCAUGGAAUAAUGAAAUAGGACGAUCGAUCCUAUUUUGUUGGUUUCUAGGAUUGACGUA